UGGGGAAUAUUGCACAAUGGGCGCAAGCCUGAUGCAGCCAUGCCGCGUGUAUGAAGAAGGCCUUCGGGUUGUAAAGUACUUUCAGUCGGGAGGAAGGUGUCAAGGUUAAUAACCUUGGCAAUUGACGUUACCGACAGAAGAAGCACCGGCUAACUCCGUGCCAGCAGCCGCGGUAAUACGGAGGGUGCAAGCGUUAAUCGGAAUUACUGGGCGUAAAGCGCACGCAGGCGGUUGAUUGAGUCAGAUGUGAAAUCCCCGGGCUUAACCCGGGAAUUGCAUCUGAUACUGGUCAGCUAGAGUCUUGUAGAGGGGGGUAGAAUUACAUGUGUAGCGGUGAAAUGCGUAGAGAUGUGGAGGAAUACCGGUGGCGAAGGCGGCCCCCUGGACAAAGACUGACGCUCAGGUGCGAAAGCGUGGGGAGCAAACAGG
RNAcentral lists this ribosomal RNA (429 nucleotides) under Chloroflexota bacterium. RNAcentral's name for it is "Chloroflexi bacterium partial 16S ribosomal RNA". It matches the Rfam family "Bacterial small subunit ribosomal RNA", at positions 355 to 776 of the family's 1533-position model. Lineage: Bacteria; Bacillati; Chloroflexota. The record is from RNAcentral.